GCGCUCGUAGCUCAAUAGGAUAGAGCAACUGCCUUCUAAGCCGUAGGUUACAGGUUCGAUCCCUGUCGGGCGCACCA
RNAcentral lists this transfer RNA (77 nucleotides) under Magnetococcales bacterium. Its description in RNAcentral is "tRNA-Arg". It matches the Rfam family "tRNA". Rfam says of the family: Transfer RNA (tRNA) molecules are approximately 80 nucleotides in length. Their secondary structure includes four short double-helical elements and three loops (D, anti-codon, and T loops). The record is from RNAcentral. Lineage: Bacteria; Pseudomonadati; Pseudomonadota; Magnetococcia; Magnetococcales.